UGAGUUUGAUCAUGGCUCAGGAUGAACGCUAGCGAUAGGCCUAACACAUGCAAGUCGAGGGGCAGCACUGGCGAGUAGCAAUACUUGCCUGGUGGCGACCGGCGGAUGGGUGAGUAACACGUAUGCAACCUGCCUACAACAAGGGCAUAACUCCGGGAAAUCGGUGCUAAUUCCCUAUAACACAGGGGCCCCGCAUGGGGAUAUUUGUUAAAGAUUAAUCGGUUGUAGAUGGGCAUGCGUUCCAUUAGCUAGUUGGUGAGGUAAUGGCUCACCAAGGCAACGAUGGAUAGGGGAACUGAGAGGUUUAUCCCCCACACUGGUACUGAGACACGGACCAGACUCCUACGGGAGGCAGCAGUGAGGAAUAUUGGUCAAUGGAGGCAACUCUGAACCAGCCACGUCGCGUGAAGGAAGACGGCCCUACGGGUUGUAAACUUCUUUUGUAAGGGAAUAAAGUGAGUCACGCGUGACUUUUUGCAUGUACCUUACGAAUAAGGAUCGGCUAACUCCGUGCCAGCAGCCGCGGUAAUACGGAGGAUCCGAGCGUUAUCCGGAUUUAUUGGGUUUAAAGGGUGCGCAGGCGGGAGACUCAGUCGGUGGUGAAAUCUUGCAGCUCAACUGUAAGCGUGCCAUUGAUACUGGUUUUCUUGAGUGUGGAUGAAGUAGGCGGAAUUUGUGGUGUAGCGGUGAAAUGCAUAGAUAUCACGAGGAACUCCGAUUGCGUAGGCAGCUUACUAAACCAUAACUGACGCUCAUGCACGAAGGCGUGGGGAUCAAACAGGAUUAGAUACCCUGGUAGUCCACGCGGUAAACGAUGAUUACUGGCUGUUUGCGAUACACAGUAAGCGGCCCAGCGAAAGCGUUAAGUAAUCCACCUGGGGAGUACGUUCGCAAGAAUGAAACA
RNAcentral lists this ribosomal RNA (904 nucleotides) under uncultured bacterium. RNAcentral's name for it is "bacterial SSU rRNA". It matches the Rfam family "Bacterial small subunit ribosomal RNA", at positions 1 to 901 of the family's 1533-position model. The record is from RNAcentral.